AAUGCCUGCUGCUUCUCCAAGCCUUCAUGGAAGGCGAUUUCUUUCCAGCGCAUCUCCAGAGAUGGCUAGGCCCUGCUCUCCCUGGACACCCUGCUCUGUCCCAUCCUGAGGACAGUGCCUAGAGCAGACUGGCCCAUGUCGUGUCCUUUCCCAAAGUCCAGAGGCAAGGAGACAGGCACUGACAGACAUUUGAGCCAGAUAAAUAGGAGAGGCCCAGGGUUCUACUGGCUACACAAAGAGCAGACAGAGUUCAGAGAGGGAGUGCACAUCUAUGACCAGGAGUCCAGGAAAGAGUAAUGGAAGAAGAGAUAUCAGAGCUCAACUCAGUCCUUAAGGCUCCCAGGAUCCUAUUCCCCUGGAAGGACUUCCAGAAAGUCACUACCCCUGACAAGACUCAGAUCGGCUCCUGGACACGAAUGACAGGGGUUUGUGACACCUCAGAAAUCGAGUACAAGCCUGUGUGUGCAUAGGUGUGCAUGAGCACACAGGGACUUUUCUAAGGAGUGGCCUCCAGCUCUCAUCAAGGAGGGAUGUGCCCCAAAAGGUUGGAAGCUCCCAUUCAUUCAUGUCCCUCAGCCCUCCCACUGUGGACAGCCCCCUGAACUCCAGUACGUCCCCAGAUCAGCAGCCUCAGCAUGAGCUCCUACGCAGGACCUGCUGAAUCAGACACUCUGGGCACGGAGCCCAAGGAUCUGUUUUAACAAGCCCUCCGGUGAGUCUGGUGCAUGACAAGCUUGAGAACCACUGGGCUCCGUCCCGCUUCUCCAGACCCCAACAAGUCUUGGUGACAAUUAAGGGUAAGCUUAGCUCUUGUUGUGGUCUUGAUGAGCUCUCCUCAAUGGGUAUAUUAUGGAGGGAUCCUAAGUGGCUAAUAAGGAAGGGGAUGAAAGUCGGUUUUGGCUUUUGCUGCUGUUCCCAACCCUCUUCUUGCCAUCCUGCUCUGGAGCAGCUGACAAAAGUGACCAUUAUCAUCGUCCUCUCAGAGCCAGCUUUGAUGCCCUCACUUAUUGCCUCCCUGACUCGGAUGAAGCCUGAGUGCAGUCUCUGCACAAAAAUCACCCAGGACCAUCAGAAUCCAAUCUCAAAGAACUUCUCCAGAUUUUUGUACCUGAAUUGCCUGUGUGGCUCCCUCCUGGCCUUUUCCCUGAGGGGUCUUAUCAGCCCACAGCCCAAGCCCAUUUGUCCUGAAGGUGAAAUCUGACAACUCUACCCUUCCCAAUGAGAUCUCCAACUCUAAUUAUGGUGUUGUCUAUUUCUCCCUUUA
Molecule: long non-coding RNA, 1264 nt
Filed under: Heterocephalus glaber (naked mole-rat)
Lineage: Eukaryota; Metazoa; Chordata; Mammalia; Rodentia; Bathyergidae
Description: lncRNA (ENSHGLG00000038364.1)
Source: RNAcentral